GCGCUCGCUUCGGCAGCACACAUACUAAAAUUGGAACAAACGAUACAGACAAGAUUAGCAUGGCCCCUUCGCAAGGAUGAGAUGCAAAUUCAUAAAUUGUAUAAAAUUAAA
Small nuclear RNA from Suncus etruscus (white-toothed pygmy shrew), 111 nucleotides. NCBI's taxonomy places the organism in Eukaryota, Metazoa, Chordata, Mammalia, Eulipotyphla, Soricidae. The record is from RefSeq and is a predicted model, not a curated record.